GCAGCUGGUUGAUGUAUCCUAACUGAUGUCUGUGUAGGUAGGAACAUGUGAUGAGACUAGGAGGCCAGAAAAGAUCCAAACUCAUUCAGAGAAAGACUCUUUUAACAGUUUUUGAAGCUUGUCAAAGCAAGAGACUCCUCCAGACCAACCUUUCCACUUCUCCAACUCUGAAGGCUCAGUGACCUCAGCUGCUGUCCUACCUGCUCCUGCUCUGGAGCCUGCAGUGUUUCCACUGCUCAGCCAUGCUCCUGCUGCUCAUCCCAGUGCUGGAGAUGGUUUUUGCCCUGAGAGGGACCAGAGCCCAGUCAGUGACCCAGCCUGACAGCCACAUCACUGUGUCUGAGGGAGCUGGUCUGGAGCUGAGGUGCAACUACUCAUCUUCUGUUUCACAGUUUCUCUUCUGGUACGUGCAAUAUCCCAACCAAGGCCCCCAGCUUCUCCUCAAGUACUUUUCAGGGCCCAUCCUGGUUAAAGGCAUCAAAGGUUUUGAAGCUGAAUUAAAAAAGAGUGAAACCACCUUCCACCUGAGGAAACCCUCAGCCCAUUGGAGCGACUCAGCUGAGUACUUCUGUGCUCUGAUGAACACAGUGCCUGAGACUGCAGGGGGAGCUGAGCACAAACCUCCUGAGACACUAGGACUUUCUGUGACUCAAGACCUCAACCUGGGAAGUUUUCAAGAAGGUCUUUUUUUCUGUGAAGGCUAAUAGGGCGGGGUGGGCUGAGUCCCACAAGUGCUUGUCUCCUGACUGAUUGCUUCAACGUCAAUACUGUGCCACAUUUGGAUAGACUCUGUACCAGACUGACGUCUUCUGAUGAAUUUCCCCAGGAUGGACCAGCCCCCUACAACUCCCCACCCCCACUGCCACGCUGAGGAAAGGACAUCAUAAAGUGCUAGAGUUUUAA
Equus caballus (horse) is the source of this 903-nucleotide non-coding RNA. NCBI's taxonomy places the organism in Eukaryota, Metazoa, Chordata, Mammalia, Perissodactyla, Equidae. The record is from the annotation of a RefSeq genome assembly.